UAAAAGUGUGCAGUGUCACCUCAAGUGUGAACAUGCACAUGUACUUUCUUUUUUUUCAGUAUAAGUUAGUAGGUUUAAAACAAAAAUAAAAUCUUCCAGUCAGCACCGCUCCUGCUCUGGUGCCUGAAUAACAUGGUUCUCUUGAAGAGGGCACUGGGCUAACUCAAAUGCCUUCACAAAGUCUGCCUGAUCCUCAGAUCAAGGGCUGGAGUGGGGCGUAUAUAAACUGUCGGGGGGUUGGAGCCACAAUGUUUAAUGAAAGGGUAAACAUUAAAAACAACUCAUCUUAGUGUCAGUCUGCAAGUAGCUGCCAG
Long non-coding RNA from Gavialis gangeticus (Gharial), 314 nucleotides. RefSeq lists it as uncharacterized. The record is from RefSeq and is a predicted model, not a curated record. The transcript is spliced from 3 exons. Lineage: Eukaryota; Metazoa; Chordata; Crocodylia; Gavialidae.